Long non-coding RNA from Mesoplodon densirostris (Blainville's beaked whale), 526 nucleotides. RefSeq lists it as uncharacterized. The transcript has 3 exons. The record is from RefSeq and is a predicted model, not a curated record. Lineage: Eukaryota; Metazoa; Chordata; Mammalia; Artiodactyla; Ziphiidae.
CGGGUCUCCUUACUGCAACGUGUGCUUGAUGAGCAGAGCAGUGUCCCAAGUGAGCAGAGGUGGACGUUGAUUUUCCUAUCCAAGCUAGCUUGAGAGACAAGGCAGGGCUUGUGCUAUGAAUCACUGCAGGACACAGCAAGUCGUUAACCUGUGAUGGGCAUCAUUUUCCUAUAAAAUCAACAACAUCGUUAAACAUAGGAUUGCUGAGUUCUGGUGUCAUUCCAUUACUCUGAGAGUAGAAACUGAGAGAGAUGAUGAAGAAAAGGACUUCAAAGACUGUCUGGUCUUCAUGCCCCUGCACCGUUAAGUCCGAGCAUCGGGUGAGGCCCGCGUUCCUGCGGCCACGGACGGGAGGGAGGCCCCAGCGAUCCCAAACACGGAGUCCUGGACAACUCCCCACGCCCUCCCAAUGCGCGAAGGCUAGGCUGUCCCCGGGGCCCUCAGGGAGCAGCGCCCCACCCAGGAUGCAAGGACUCGGACUGGCCGGGCUCCACGCAGGCGCACUGAAGCCCGGGCAGGGGCGUGU